CACGAAGUUAGCCGGUGCUUAUUCUGUCGGUAACGUCAAAACUGCAAGGUAUUCGCUUACAGCCCUUCCUCCCAACUUAAAGUGCUUUACAAUCCGAAGACCUUCUUCACACACGCGGCAUGGCUGGAUCAGGCUUUCGCCCAUUGUCCAAUAUUCCCCA
This 160-nucleotide ribosomal RNA is filed under the name uncultured bacterium. Its description in RNAcentral is "partial 16S ribosomal RNA". The record is from RNAcentral.